This is a long non-coding RNA of Carassius auratus (goldfish), 610 nucleotides long. RefSeq lists it as uncharacterized. The record is from RefSeq and is a predicted model, not a curated record. Lineage: Eukaryota; Metazoa; Chordata; Actinopteri; Cypriniformes; Cyprinidae. The transcript has 4 exons.
UCAGUUACUGGCAGGGUUUAUGGGCCAGGUAACUGCCCUCUAGACUCUAAACACGUGGUUAUUGGUCAUACUCCUCUAAGGAUAUAAACUGUGAAGACAAGACUUUAAGCUCAGUGUAGCGCUGUGUUCUGUACAACAACGACCACCUGGGAAUAGCUGGAGGCUGUUCAGAUAUAAUGAAGAGGAUGUUUGGUAUGUCUGUCUGUCUGUUGCUGCUGUGUGUGUCGUGGGGCGACAGUCAGCCUGUACACACUGCUGCUCACACUGUCAGAGAGAUGAUAGAGCUCCUGAGAGCGAUGACUCCAGUAACUGAGCAGAAGGGACAGGACACAGAUCUGAUGGACUCUCCUGAGGUUCUGUGGCCUAAUACUGAGGAUCUGGAGAAGAGAGACCUGCCACGUUUAGGAGUAACAAUACACAGAGCCUUACCCUCAAGAGUAUACAGCAGUAAGUCCGUAGAUGCAUCUAGAUACCGUUUGUCAUCUCCAGCUAAGUGGAUGUCCAGCCUCCGAGGUUGAAGAAUAGCCUGUUUGAUUCAUCAGUUUCAAAAUAGCUUGAACCAAUCAAUCCGCAUGCUAUCUCUGUGAAGAACUCAUUGUAAAACAUGAAA